Molecule: ribosomal RNA, 275 nt
Filed under: uncultured bacterium
Lineage: Bacteria
Description: partial 16S ribosomal RNA
Rfam family: Bacterial small subunit ribosomal RNA
Source: RNAcentral
GCGUGGGUGAUGAAGGCCUUCGGGUUGUAAAGCCCUUUCACACGCGAUGAUGAUGACGGUAGCGUGAGAAGAAGCCCCGGCUAACUUCGUGCCAGCAGCCGCGGUAAGACGAAGGGGGCAAGCGUUGUUCGGAAUCACUGGGCGUAAAGGGCGCGUAGGCGGCCGCUCGCGUCAGGUGUGAAAGCCCCGGGCUCAACCUGGGAACGGCACUUGAUACGGGGCGGCUGGAGAGCGGGAGAGGAUGGUGGAAUUCCCAGUGUAGAGGUGAAAUUCGU